Long non-coding RNA from Mustela erminea (ermine), 298 nucleotides. RefSeq lists it as uncharacterized. The record is from RefSeq and is a predicted model, not a curated record. The transcript is spliced from 3 exons. NCBI's taxonomy places the organism in Eukaryota, Metazoa, Chordata, Mammalia, Carnivora, Mustelidae.
GGUGUUAAGAGAAAGGAAGUAAUAAGCUUUUGUCAAAAGACUGAGAAGAUAAGUAGAGAAAAAAUGACCAUUGGAUAUGCCAGCAUGAAGGCAGUAGGAAGUAAAGGAGUAGUAUAAUGAAAAAGUAUAUUUUAAACUUUUGGUCUUCACCAUUGGCAAGUUGAAGGCUGGUAUCAAGAGUGACACAGCUGCAGGUGUUUCUCAUUUAGAAUGUCUUUACCAGCAACACAUCAAAGUUCAGAAACCAUGAAAACCCCGCGUCGGAAUCAGACAUUAUUCUUACUGGGGAAGUCAGCGG